AACGAACGCUGGCGGCAGGCUUAACACAUGCAAGUCGAGCGGGCGUAGCAAUACGUCAGCGGCAGACGGGUGAGUAACGCGUGGGAACAUACCUUUUGGUUCGGAACAACACAGGGAAACUUGUGCUAAUACCGGAUAAGCCCUUACGGGGAAAGAUUUAUCGCCGAAAGAUUGGCCGCGUCUGAUUAGCUAGUUGGUAGGGUAAUGGCCUACCAAGGCGACGAUCAGUAGCUGGUCUGAGAGGAUGAUCAGCCACAUUGGGACUGAGACACGGCCCAAACUCCUACGGGAGGCAGCAGUGGGGAAUAUUGGACAAUGGGCGCAAGCCUGAUCCAGCCAUGCCGCGUGAGUGAUGAAGGCCCUAGGGUUGUAAAGCUCUUUGUGCGGGAAGAUAAUGACGGUACCGCAAGAUAAGCCCCGGCUAACUUCGUGCCAGCAGCCGCGGUAAU
RNAcentral lists this ribosomal RNA (449 nucleotides) under uncultured bacterium. RNAcentral describes it as "bacterial SSU rRNA". It matches the Rfam family "Bacterial small subunit ribosomal RNA", at positions 29 to 524 of the family's 1533-position model. The record is from RNAcentral.